Molecule: long non-coding RNA, 7847 nt
Filed under: Lactuca sativa (garden lettuce)
Lineage: Eukaryota; Viridiplantae; Streptophyta; Magnoliopsida; Asterales; Asteraceae
Description: long non-coding RNA (LSAT_LNC001291)
Source: RNAcentral
AUAUGAGCAUUAAGGUGGGUGUAUGGCCAUAAAAGCGAGUGUGCGGCCAGGGAGUGCGGUCAAGCUGUGUGUGCGGCUGCACACAGGAGUGUGCGGCCAUACAGAGGGUGUGUGCGGCCGUACACUCCUCAUUUGAGUCCAAAUUGUCGAUUUUGAAGUGUUUUCUCCUCACUUUGGAGAGUUUUGAAUGUGUGCCGCCACCUUAUGAAGGUGUGCGGCCGUGCACCUUCAAAGGACGAAGAACACAAAGAACACUAUGAGUUUUUGGCUUGGAUUCAAGUGUCUUACCACUAUAACAAGUUGGGUGAUGAAGUGGUUCCCGUUUUUGAGUCCUUAAUGAUGUUCUUGGAUGAAAUUUUUAGAGAGAGAAAGUAGAGAGAGAAAGUGGAGAGUAGCCAAAGGAGAAAAGAAUGAAUGAAGGGGGUCCUCCUCUAUAUAUAGAGGGAAGUGUGAGGCUGGAGAUGGGUGUGCGGCUGGUUGGUCGCACACUCAGGUGUGCGGCCACACACACCUUCCUUGGUGUGUUUGGAUUGAUUUUGUGAUGUUACACUCCUUCCAUACCUUCUUAAGACUCAUAUCUAAAAAAUACUAAGUCUAAAGCAUUCAUAUGGACCCACAAUUUCUCUAUAAGAUGAUAAAUUCGAGUGAAAUAUUGAUAUACGGAUCGAUUGUACAUGAUAAAAGUUUCGGGUUGUCACAUCAUCCCCCCGUUAGAGGGAAUUUCGUCCCAAAAUUCAGAAAUAUGGAUACAAAUCAUGGAUUCGGAAAAAGAUAAGGGUACUUCUGUUUCAUCUGAUCUUCGCGCUCCCAAGUGAAUUCAGGUCCCCGCUUGGCAUUCCAGCGAACCUUCACUAUCGGGAUGCGAGUUUGUUUCGUUCGUUUAACUUCCUUAUCCAUGAUUUCGAUUGGUUCUUCCACAAAGUUCAGAUUCUCAUUGAUUUCAAUCUCAUCGAGAGGAAUUGCAAGUGUCUCGUCGGAUAAGCACUUCUUAAGGUUCGAGACAUGGAAGACAGGAUGGAUGUUGCUAAGUUCUUGCGGUAAACGAAGUUUGUAAGCUACUGGACCGAUCCUAGCGAGGAUCUCAAAGGGUCCUAUGUAUCUUGGAUUUAGCUUUCCACACUUUCCGAAGCGUAUCAUGCCUUUCCAGGGCGAGACUUUCAACAGGACAUGGUCUCCAACCUGGAACUCCAAGGGUUUUCGUCGUUUAUCGGCGUAGCUCUUUUGUCUAUCACGGGAGGCCUUAAGUCGUUCUCAGAUUUGUAUAAUCUUUUCAGUGGUUUCGCGGAUGAUUUCUGGACCAGUGAGAGUGUUAUCGGGGACUUGCCCUUUGGUGAGCUGCAUGUCGCCCACCUCAGCCCAGCAUAGAGGCGAUCUGCACUUACGGCCAUAGAGGGCUUCGAAAGGCGCAACCUUGAUGCUGGUAUGAUAACUAUUGUUCUAUGAGAAUUCGACCAAGGGAAAAUGGGUGUCCCAUGAUUUACCGAAGUCGAUGACACAUGCUCUCAACAUGUCUUCCAAGGUCUGGAUGGUUCUCUCACUCUGUCCAUCUGUCUGAGGAUGAUAAGUUGUACUCAUAUCCAACUUAGUUCCAAGAGCUUUCUGUAGGGACUGCUAAAACCUCGAAGUGAACCUGCUAUCUCGAUCGGAGAUAAUGGAUACAGGCACACCGUGCAGUCGAACUAUCUCUUGGAUGUAGAUUCGUGUGAGUCUCUCCAUUUUGAAAGUUUCUUUGAUUGGCAGGAAGUGAGCGGAUUUAGUCAAUCGGUCGACUAUUACCCAGAUGGUGUCGUACCCACUCGGAGAUUUGGGUAAUUUGAUAAUGAAAUCCAUGGUAAUCCUCUCCCACUUCCACUCAGGUAUCUCGGGCUGUUGAAGUAGACCCAAGGGCUUCUGAUAUUCGACCUUCACCUUGGCACAAGUCAGACACUUGACCACAAAGGUAGCGAUCUUGGCUUUCAUGUUUGGCCACCAAUAUAACUUCUUGAGAUCAAAGUACAUCUUAUUCGAUCGUGGGUGGACUGAGUAUCUAGUUUUGUGAGCAUCGUUCAUGACAAUCCCUCUGUAACCACCAAACCUUGGGGUCCAAAUCCGAUCCAUGAAAUAGUAAACUCCGUCUCUCUUGAUCUCUAAGUUCUUUUCCAUUCCUCUCAAGACUUCUUCCGCCAUGUUCUCUGGUUUCAGGGCUUGUCGCUGAGCCUCUCGGAUUUGCGCGGAUAAGUAGGAAUGGAUGGUCAUUGUCAGUGUCUUUACCUUGCAGCCGGAACUUUCCUUACGGCUAAGGGCAUCUGCCACCACAGUGGCCUUGUCGGGAUGGUAGCGGAUUUCACAAUCGUAAUUGCUGAGUAGUUCUACCCAUCGCCGUUGUCUCAUGUUUAAGUCUUUCUGGUCGAAGAUGUGCUGCAGGCUUUUAUGGUCAGUGAAGAUCGUGCACUUUGUUCCGUAGAGAUAAUGUCUCUAAAUCUUUAGUGCGAAGACCACUGCUCCUAACUCCAGGUCGUGAGUUGUGUAGUUAACUUCGUGUGCUGUCAGCUGUCUCGAGGCGUAAGCAAUAACCUUUCCUCGUUGCAUAAGUACACAUCCUAAGCCCUGGUUGGAUGCAUCGCAGUAGACAACGAAGUCUUCCGUCCCUUCGGGCAGAGACAGAAUAGGUGCGCUGCACAAGGCUCGCUUCAAUGUUUGGAAUGCAGUGUCUUGCUUUUCACUCCAACAAAAGGGUACACCUUUCUGCGUUAGAGUGGUUAGGGGUUUGGCAAUUCUGGAUGAAUCUGCGAUAGUAGCCAGCGAGACCCAAGAAUUGACAGAUUUAUGUGGGUGUCUUCGGUGCUGACCAAUUCUCUAUCGCUUUGAUUUUGGAUGGAUCCACAUGUAUGCCUUCCUUACUUACCAUGUGACCCAAGAAAGUUACUUUCCGAAUCCAGAAUUCACACUUGGAGAAUUUCACGUAUAGUCUUUCUGUUCUUAGAGUUUCCAACACUAAUCUUAAGUGUUGUUUGUGAUCUUCCUCGCUUUUGGAAUAGACAAGUAUAUCGUCUAUGAACAUGAUAACAAACUUGUAUAGGAAAAGACGACACACCCGGUUCAUCAAGUCCAUGAACACUGUCAGUGCGUUGGUUAGACCGAAGGGCAUUACUACGAAUUCAUAGUGACCAUAUCGAGUCCGAAAUGUUGUUUUAGGAACAUCACUCUCAUGGACUCGUAACUGAUGGUACCCUGAUCUGAGGUCUAUCUUGGAGAAGUAGCUGGCUCCUUGAAGUUGGUCGAAGAGGUCGUUGAUCCGAGGAAGAGGAUAGCGGUUCUUAACAGUGAGUUUGUUCAGCUCUCGGUAGUCAAUGCACAUCUGAAAAGAUCCAUCUUUCUUUUUCACAAAUAAAACUGGGGAUCCCCAGGGUGAGGAACUCGGUCUAAUGAAUCCUUUGCUGAGUAGCUCAUUGAGUCGGCUGGACAACUCUUGCAUUUCUGCUGGCGCUAGGCGAUAUGGAGACUUAGCCACGGGGGUAGCUCCGGGGAUUAAGUCGAUGCGAAACUCGACUUGGCGCUCAGGAGGAAUUCUCGGAAUCUCUUCAGGAAAGACAUCAGGAAAGUUGCAGACUUCGGGGAUGCUCUCGAGGUCCUUAACUUCCUUUUCCUCAUUUACAACAUGAGCUAGAAAUGCAUGACACUCCUUUCGUAGAAGUUUUUGGCUUUGAUGCACGAGAUGAUUCGAAGGCUGGAGCUAAGUUUAUCACCAUAGAUCAUGAGGGUUUCGCUAGAGAGGAGAUUGAGACAGAUAGCUUUUUCGAAACAGAGAAUAUCAUCACGAUUGGGGCUCAACCAAUCCAUGCCAAUGAUGACGUCGAAGCUUUUUAUGGAAACUGGCAUAAGAUCGAUGGGAAAGGAAUGUUCGUUUAGGGUAAGGGUACAGCCCAUGUAUAUCUCGUUAGAACUCUCUUUCUCACCGUUAGCCAUCUCGACAGUAAACAUUUUGGUUAAUGGUUGAGAUUUAUGUUUAAGAAAACGCUUGAAUGCAUGACUAACAAAACUUCUUUCAGCACCGGAAUCGAAAAGAAUGCAUGCAUAAGAUUUGUCGAGGAGGAACGUACCCGUCACAACGGUAGGAUCAAAAACUUCCUCCUCUUUCCCCAUUGUUAGAACUCUCCCAGUGUUGACAGUCAUUGCUGUUUUGGGGAAAUUUAUCUUGUAGUGCCCGACCUCACCACAACCAUAACAGGCUUGACUGACACCUGCUCCGGAUGCUUGAUUGGUCGGUUGGGCUAGUGUUCUGCAAUUUCGGGCAAUGUGACCCUUCUUGCCACAAUUGUUGCAGAGGAUUUCACGACAUGGGUCAGGGAUACGGUGGUGGUAAUUGCACUUACUGCACCAAGGGAGGGUAUAAGUAUAUCCACUAGUAGGUGCUUGAGUUGCAGGAGCAGCAGCAGGGGUAGUGGCAGCAUGGACUGCCACAGUUUGUUGUUUCUUGGAGGACCCUUGCGAACUCUGACCCUUCUUCUGUUUCCAAAAUUUUCUUUUCUCACCACUCCCUUUAGCCGGUUCAGGAGCGGUGGCCACCUCAUCGAGAUCGACUCCAUGAUCGAUCAGAGUCUGCGCCAAGCACUUAGCGCUGUCAAAGGUGUUUGGCCUAGCAGCCAAAACAUUUCCUUUGGUUGGUUGGGUCAGCCCCCAAAUGAAUCUUUCAAUCUUUUUGCUUUCCGGGGUGACCAUUCCUGGGCAGAGAAGCGCUAGGUCUUCAAACCUAGAUGUGUAGGCAGCAAUAUCGUAACCUUUCAUCUUUAGGUUCCAAAGUUCGUGCUCCAACUUCUGCAUUUCACCUCGAGGGCAGUACUCAGCAAUCAUGAGCUCUUUCAGGCUCUCCCAACCCAUAUCGUUUGCCACUGGUAGGGUUAGGGAUUUGACCUGACCGUUCCACCAGGUCAGUGCCCUGUUGGCGAAGGUGCAAGCGGCAAAUUUUACUUUGUUGACCUAAGAACAAGAACAUAUUUCAAAAAUGGACUCAAUUUUCUCGAUCCAUUGAGUCAGGGAAAUAACACCUCCAGUGCCGUCGAAGGAUGUAGUUUUUGCGUUCAUGAAGUCUUUAUAGGAACACUCCUUCUGGUGUCCCUGACUACCUUCCUGAUUUUGGGGAUGGGUACCACCUCCUGGACCUCCAGAACCACCGGGGUUCAUCUGUGACAUUUUCGGCAGCCACAGCGGCAGUAACAGCUGCCUGGAACAUUGUAGGAUCAAAUUGAGGAGGUGGUGGUGGAGGAUUGUUGUUCUUUGAGCUGGGUAUUUUCUUUGGAGGCAUCUAGAUCUAAAAUGAUCAGGAAAGAGAGGAUGGUAAGUCCUCUGAAUUGAAUCAAGAGAUAUGAAACAAGAUGUAUCUCUAUAUGAUAGAUAAAGUGUUCUACUAAGCGAUAGACAGGAAAGAGUUGCUAAAGCAAGUAAACUAUCGCUAAGGAAAGAAUGAGUAACAACAUUUGGAAUGACUUUCCACAACGUAUUCGGCUCUGACUAAAAUACUCCUAUAGUAUUUUAUGGUUUGUUGCGACGAUGACUUGUUGUUUGGGAUUUUGGUAAGUUUUAGGCCUGUUGUACACCACAGUCACUCCCAAGCACAUGUUGGCCGUGUCUCGAAUGAAUAUAGUUGAUCAGGCUAUAUUGACCCUAGACACGACUACAUAACUGCCCAGGUUUAACCGCAGUGCCCAACACCCAAUUACUUUUGUUUCGUUCUACUCGUGGUUACUAAUUCUGAUAUGUAGGUAUACUUGUAUACUUGGAGUAUAAAUACUUAUAUUUUUAAAGUAUACUUUUAGUUCAGAGCACUUCAGCCCCUUAGUAUUUAUAAUUGUAUACCAUGUAAGGUUCGGUAUACUUAGUUCACUAUAAACAAUAGCUCUGAUACCAACCUGUCACACCCUGAAACCGAUGGCGAAAACAUUCCGGGGCGGCGAUGUCAUACGUAGUAUCACAACAAUCGUAUCAUAGCAAGCAUAGUAAACACAACCAUUACAUUACGAUAUGAAUAUUUACAUCAGUUGAAAACAUGGUUUAUACAUCAUAAUAUAUAACAAAAGAUAAAGACGAGACUCCAAAAAUGCUCCGUCUUCUCCAAAAGCUGGCUAGGUACCUAUCUAUCGUUGCCCUGAGAAUACAAGCGGUUUUGAAAACAUAUCAGCAUAAAGCUGGUGAGUUCAUAAGCAUGUUCUUGUAUUGAAAACUAGUCACUGAAUUAGUAUAAAUCUUCUCUUUCAUUUAUAAGUAAAUAUCGUUUAUAUCGAAAAUCGUUGUUACCAAGUUCUGAAAUACGUAUACAUGCUUACCAAGAAAAUCCAAUAUUUUCUAACAUGUUUGUUGGUUUCUGAAUGAAAGGUACGUUUUGUCUGAAAACCCUGGCUACCACCAGUAUGUAAUGUAUAAUCGUUCGGAAAACCCUGGUUACCACCAGUACGUAUAAUAGUUUUAUUACUUAAAAUAAAACUAUAGAUUUUGUCCCUGGAAUACCCUCUAGUAAGUAGAUAAGUAGUUUUAUUAGUUGAAAUAAAACUAUAGAAUAAAGAAAUCCUGUAAACAAUGAUUAGUUUAUACUUAUUGUGAGUCGUAUAACCAUACUAAUUUGACCCGUGACCUCCUUGACGUUCUUCAGGCGUUGUACGAUUCAAAAAUUUGUCACCCCAGGCAUGCCUGCCUAACUGUAGCUAACAGUUCAGGUGUGGGAUUGUCGGUCCCAAAUAGAUAUAUUCACAAAUUUCACACUCUCCCUCCAGGAGACACUGGUUAUACUACCGGUGAGGAUUUAUUGGUACCCCGAGGGGCAAAACGAAGAUAGUCUCACAAUCCUGUAUUAACUAGUUUACGUGUUUGUUCGGUUAUCCUUGAGUUCGAAUUCGUUUGUAACGGUAUAGAGUAUAAUAAUUAUACAUAAAAUAAUUAUUUAGCAUGAUACUCUAGUUUUGUAUUCAUGGUAAUGGAUAAACUAAAUUUGACAUAGUUUAUAUGUUUGACUCUGCAUGAUGUUUAAACAUGUAAGACUGAUAAUGAAAUCCUAAACUAUACCUAUUAUAGUUUGAAUGGUUGUUACGUUCGGGUAUGGUUUUGAAAACUAUGCAAUUAUGAAUUGAAAACAUCCUUUAUGCUCUUCAUAAUACAAGAGGGAUAAUUGUAUCUAAUCGUUUGAUAGAAAAUCAUUGUAAUUGCAUCAGUUUUUAAAUUAUGAAAACCUUUAUGUUUAGCUUGUAUUCCCUCCUGAAAACAUGAAAAACUCAAAAAAGUGUAGGGGUAUGAACUCACAGUUUAACGUAGGAUUCGAUGUUGCGAUUAGUUAUAAGCGUCGAGUGUCAACCGGUGUUUUGCACGCGUAUAGAACCUAAGAACAUAUAUUGCACAUAUAUGUAUUAGAUUGAGUAUCCCAUGAUACAUCAUGAUGGAAAACCACCCUAAAAGCUUGGAAUCACUAGAACUAAGGGUUCUAUGUCUCAUACUUAGGGAUCUUUACAAGUUUAAAGCCAAAUAUGAGCAUUAAGGUGGGUGUAUGGCCAUAAAAGCGAGUGUGCGGCCAGGGAGUGCGGUCAAGCUGUGUGUGCGGCUGCACACAGGAGUGUGCGGCCAUACAGAGGGUGUGUGCGGCCGUACACAGGAGUGUGCGGCCGUACACUCCUCAUUUGAGUCCAAAAUGUCGAUUUUGAAGUGUUUUCUCCUCACUUUGGAGAGUUUUGAAUGUGUGCCGCCACCUUAUGAAGGUGUGCGGCCGUGCACCUUCAAAGGACGAAGAACACUAUGAGUUUUUGGCUUAGAUUCAAGUGUCUUACCACUAUAACAAGUUGGGUGAUGAAGUAGUUCCUGUUUUUGAGUCCUUAAUAAUGUUCUUGGAU